Molecule: small nucleolar RNA, 84 nt
Filed under: Sus scrofa (pig)
Lineage: Eukaryota; Metazoa; Chordata; Mammalia; Artiodactyla; Suidae
Description: Small nucleolar RNA SNORD103/SNORD85 (ENSSSCG00070027725.1)
Source: RNAcentral
UCUUAGGGAUGGCACACUUGUUCUCACUGAUAUCAUAGUUUCGUGAUGAGAAUCUUGAUUUUUAUACUCAUUAGCUGAGCCAGA